CAAAGAAACAGACCAAAUCAUCAAUACUCAUGAGGACACGAAGCUGCGGCUGAAGUCUGAUUGUGAAAAGGAGAUAGAGGAAGUUGUUGCUCAAAUUCGUAGAAAGUAUGAGAUUAAACUUCAGGAGACGGAAUCUGAAUUCAUCCUUAAGAAAAAAGAACUUGACACAUAUCACAACAAAGUUCUUAUGAACAAGAUCUUGGC
RNAcentral lists this unclassified non-coding RNA (204 nucleotides) under Hevea brasiliensis (rubber tree). Lineage: Eukaryota; Viridiplantae; Streptophyta; Magnoliopsida; Malpighiales; Euphorbiaceae. The record is from RNAcentral.